CGACGAGUUCUCGUUGAUGAUCGGUGCUUGCACCGAGAUUCAACAUGGAACGAGUGGCGGACGGGUGAGUAACACGUGGGUAACCUGCCCUUAAGUGGGGGAUAACAUUUGGAAACAGAUGCUAAUACCGCAUAGAUCCAAGAACCGCAUGGUUCUUGGCUGAAAGAUGGCGUAAGCUAUCGCUUUUGGAUGGACCCGCGGCGUAUUAGCUAGUUGGUGAGGUGAUGGCUCACCAAGGCGAUGAUACGUAGCCGAACUGAGAGGUUGAUCGGCCACAUUGGGACUGAGACACGGCCCAAACUCCUACGGGAGGCAGCAGUAGGGAAUCUUCCACAAUGGACGCAAGUCUGAUGGAGCAACGCCGCGUGAGUGAAGAAGGCUUUCGGGUCGUAAAACUCUGUUGUUGGAGAAGAAUGGUCGGCAGAGUAACUGUUGUCGGCGUGACGGUAUCCAACCAGAAAGCCACGGCUAACUACGUGCCAGCAGCCGCGGUAAUACGUAGGUGGCAAGCGUUAUCCGGAUUUAUUGGGCGUAAAGCGAGCGCAGGCGGUUUUUUAAGUCUGAUGUGAAAGCCCUCGGCUUAACCGAGGAAGCGCAUCGGAAACUGGGAAACUUGAGUGCAGAAGAGGACAGUGGAACUCCAUGUGUAGCGGUGAAAUGCGUAGAUAUAUGGAAGAACACCAGUGGCGAAGGCGGCUGUCUGGUCUGUAACUGACGCUGAGGCUCGAAAGCAUGGGUAGCGAACAGGAUUAGAUACCCUGGUAGUCCAUGCCGUAAACGAUGAAUGCUAGGUGUU
Molecule: ribosomal RNA, 796 nt
Filed under: uncultured bacterium
Lineage: Bacteria
Description: bacterial SSU rRNA
Rfam family: Bacterial small subunit ribosomal RNA
Source: RNAcentral